RNAcentral lists this long non-coding RNA (245 nucleotides) under Lathyrus oleraceus (garden pea). RNAcentral's name for it is "Pisum sativum (pea) long non-coding RNA (PSAT_LNC030888)". Lineage: Eukaryota; Viridiplantae; Streptophyta; Magnoliopsida; Fabales; Fabaceae. The record is from RNAcentral.
CCAAGUUAAUUAAUUCAAUUAUUCAUUAUAUCUCAUAUCAACUAAAUAAUUAAUUAACACACCAAAUUAAUUAAUAUAAUCAAUUAUUAUACUACCUAACAACCAAUUAAUUAGUUAACACUCCAAAUAAUUAAAAUAAAAUAUAAUAAUAAUAAUAUAAGAAAUAAUUACUAAAAUUAGGUUGUUACAACUCUCCCCCACUUAAAAGAUUUUCGGCCUUGAAAAUACCUCAAACGAACAACUCC